Long non-coding RNA from Eupeodes corollae, 822 nucleotides. RefSeq lists it as uncharacterized. Lineage: Eukaryota; Metazoa; Arthropoda; Insecta; Diptera; Syrphidae. The transcript has 3 exons. The record is from RefSeq and is a predicted model, not a curated record.
ACAAUAUCGCCCUCCAACGCUACUCACUUCUCACGUAAGUCAGUCUUAGAGUGUAUCUCUUAGGUUCAUCAAUCAAGCGUGAGUGAGUGCAGCGGAUUUUGUUUGGUUGGGGUUCCGUUCGAUUCGAUUCGAGUCGAGUCGAUAGAUCGGACUCGAUCGGAUUCAAUUCGAUGUGAUGUGAUAGGUCAUUUGCAUAAAUAAAGAAGUGCGUCAUUUCCGUUCGAUUGGGUCAUUUCUGAGUUACGAAAAAUCGAUUUCCGAUUAUUUCCUCCCGCCAUUGAUGGAAUUUACUGUUGGUCUGUUCAAAAAUUCAAAUGAUUCGAACUAAAAAUCAGAUUUUGGUGAACAUGUGUUGUGAAAAUUGUGUGUGUGGUGUGUGGUGAGUGGUGACAUUAGGAGGAGGAAGCAAGGCAAAGCAAAGAAAAGCAAAGCGAUUCAAUCCGAAGAAAUACAAACAGAAAGAAGAAAUUCUAUACAGAAGUCCCAAGACUGUCGAUUCAAUGAUGAUGAUGAUGAGGCUGCAGGACCAGCAACAGCAGAAAUAUCACUUGAUGAACAUUGACAGAAAACCUAACCUUGAGACCCCUUCAUUCGGCAGAAAACAACACAUUCAACAAAAAUACAUCAAAAAAAAAAACACGCACCUUAAGGAAAAAUAAGAAUCUGCUGGAUAAUCUUUUAUUCUCAAAAUGAGAGACACCCGAAAGACUGACUAAAAACUAAAAUUUAAUUAAUAAUUUAUUAAAUAAAAACAAACAGUAUACUAACAAUUUUGUUUUAUUCUGCCAAUUCAUUUAGUAUUUUCAAGCUUUCUAUUUGAAG